RNAcentral lists this ribosomal RNA (501 nucleotides) under uncultured bacterium. RNAcentral's name for it is "partial 16S ribosomal RNA". It matches the Rfam family "Bacterial small subunit ribosomal RNA", at positions 29 to 523 of the family's 1533-position model. The record is from RNAcentral.
AUUGAACGCUGGCGGCAUGCCUUACACAUGCAAGUCGAACGGCAGCACGGGUGCUUGCACCUGGUGGCGAGUGGCGAACGGGUGAGUAAUACAUCGGAACGUACCUUAUCGUGGGGGAUAACGCAGCGAAAGCUGUGCUACUACCGCAUACGCCCUGAGGGGGAAAGCGGGGGAUCGAAAGACCUCGCGCGAUUAGAGCGGCCGAUGCCGGAGUAGCUUGUUGGUGGGGUAAAAGCCCACCAAGGCGACGAUGAGUAGCUGGUCUGAGAGGACGAUCAGCAACACUGGGACUGAGACACGGCCCAGAAUCCUACGGGAGGCAGCAGUGGGGAAUUUUGGACAAUGGGGGCAACCCUGAUCCAGCAAUGCCGCGUGAGUGAAGAAGGCCUUCGGGUUGUAAAGCUCUUUUGUCAGGGAAGAAACACCGGCUCUAACACAGUCCGGGAAUGACGGUACCUGAAGAAUAAGCACCGGCUAACUACGUGCCAGCAGCCGCCGUAA